RNAcentral lists this unclassified non-coding RNA (2102 nucleotides) under Acanthaster planci (crown-of-thorns starfish). Its description in RNAcentral is "rNA-binding protein 41-like, transcript variant X10". Lineage: Eukaryota; Metazoa; Echinodermata; Asteroidea; Valvatida; Acanthasteridae. The record is from RNAcentral.
CGCGGCAGCAGCGCAGACGACAUGGACAGCUUGUGAUAGGCCCCUAAUCGAAGUUUUGUUUAAUUUCGACAUGCACGUUACCCCAGUAUGGAGGAUGACCCAUAUGAAGAUGAAAGUUGUCCUGACUUUGAGCCAGCAGUCCAGUCUACUGGUCCGUCAGAAGCAGUGUUGUGUGUUCAGAGAAUGCUUGGAGAACAACUUGACACUAACAUUUCUUUAGAACAGCAAGCUUCUAAAAGCAGGUCAUUCACCCAGGCUGCUGCAACCUUCAGACCUUUUGUCGAGCAGGCCAGCGGUCAAUUAUCCCUGGAGGAGUUUCAGGCCCUUGAGAGAGAGCACGAGGGACUUGAGAAGCUAAGAGCAUGCGGUCUGAGCGAUGAAGAAAUUGCCCUCAAAUUGGAGCAUGAGGGCAGACACCUGUCUAACCUCCUUUAUCCUCACAAGCGCCAUCGUUCCAUUGCUGAUCCGGUUGCUAGGCUGAAACGUCUCAAGGAAGUGGAAGGCAAAAUCCAAAGGAAAAAGGCAUCACUCAGCUCAUCCCAAGAUGCUGCUUCUUCUGACAACAAAGAGACAGAUAACGACCUUCAAGGAAGUGCCAUCAGCUCACCUAAACAUCCUUCAUUACUCAGCAAGAAGUUUGUCCAUCCUGAUGAUCCCAUCAACCAUCUAGACACUAUCACCGCUGGCCUGUUUGGGGAAAGUAGUCAAGGUAAACAAGUUAGAAAUGUUUCUCAGAGAAGUGGAAAUGCCGUGUCCCUCAUGGCUGAACCCUCCGGAGGAUGCAGUCCAGGUUGCCAAGGCAACGGACCUCAUGCAGCAAAAAAGGAAUGGCAGGCUAAUGAGUGCUCCUCUAAGGAAAAAUCUGUGGAUGGCUACCAAGAUGGAUUAAGAGUAAAAUGUGCAUUAGAGACCUGCGGCAGGGAUUCCUGUCGGGAGUCUAUCACAAAACGUGCUCUUCACAUCAGUAAAGACGGAAAUUUGACUAACACCCCUGAGCAAGAAAUAGCCCUGGAGGGCUGUCCAGAGGAGGAGAUUUCAAAUAGUGCCAUAGGGAGUCAAGAAACAGGAAAGAUAUCUCGGCAGAUCUCUGGGGUCCAAGGAAAAUGCAUGGAUGAACAAGAUGAGGAUAAGAAGCCCCGUAGACUGGCCUGUAUUGUCAGUCCUUUGUCACGAGAGGAUUUAUUGCACCAUCAUCUAAGUCAGGAUGACAUUCGUAGGAUGGAGCGCUUUGCAAACUACUCACCAGGGGAACCAAGCAAGGUUCUCUACCUUAAGAACCUGUCGACGAAAGUCACAGAGGCUGAUCUGGCAUCACUCUUUAUCAGUUUCCAGCAUCCUGACAAACCUAAGAUUAUCUUCAAACUUCUCAAAGGAAGGAUGAAAGGGCAAGCUUUUGUGACCUUUGCAGACACAGAAAUGGCAGUUGAAGCAAUGGCACAUGCCAAUGGUUAUCCCUUGAAAGGGAAACCAGUGAUCAUUCAGUUUGGAAAGCAGAGAUGACGGACGACAAGUGACAUCAUGAGAGUCUUCCCCCAAAAUGAAAUCUGUUGCUAGCUUUAGCUCAUCUCCCGCUGGUGUCUUCUUCAUCAAUAUCGCCAUCAUCAUCAGUAGAUGUGGCAUCAUCACUUUCGUCAACGUUAAGUCUUUAGUUCCAAGUCAACACGACAGUGCUCCAGGUCUACAGAUUAUUGGAAACAUUCUGACCCUUCUUCUCAUCAAUCAAGAAAUUGAAAAUUUAGCAAGAUCUCAAAUCCACGGAGAAUAUUCAUGAGAGCUUGUUGGAUCUGCAAGCGCCCUUCGCAAGGCCUACUGACUGAAUGUUAGAGUCGAUAGAGAAUCUACAAGUCUCCAGUGGGAAUGAAUACCAGGUUUAAGACCGACGACUUUGACGAUAAAUGAUUCAAUUUGAUCCUCCGUCCAGCAGCCCAUUGGGUACGGAACUUGAGACUUUUUUAAUUGAGACUGCUUAAAGGUAUAACCUAAUUGUUUAGUUGAAAUAAUAACGUAAUUGCGAAUUGAAAUAAAGUACUCUUGUGAUUCCAAUCUCUUCUUGUUUGUAAUCACGGUUCGAAACAUUAAACAAGACCUUUUUUAGACCUGAC